UCAACGGCGAGAUUCGAACCCACGAUCUCCUGUUUACUAAACAGGCGCCUUAACCAAAUAAACCAUG
This is a non-coding RNA of Cordylochernes scorpioides, 67 nucleotides long. The record is from the annotation of a GenBank genome assembly. Lineage: Eukaryota; Metazoa; Arthropoda; Arachnida; Pseudoscorpiones; Chernetidae.